GCUUAGAGUUUGAUCAUGGCUCAGGAUGAACGCUGGCGGCGUGCCUAACACAUGCAAGUCGAGCGAUUUACUUCGGUAAAGAGCGGCGGACGGGUGAGUAACGCGUGGGUAACCUGCCCUGUACACACGGAUAACAUACCGAAAGGUAUGCUAAUACGAGAUAAUAUGCUUUUAUCGCAUGGUAGAAUUAUCAAAGCUUUUGCGGUACAGGAUGGACCCGCGUCUGAUUAGCUAGUUGGUAAGGUAACGGCUUACCAAGGCGACGAUCAGUAGCCGACCUGAGAGGGUGAUCGGCCACAUUGGAACUGAGACACGGUCCAAACUCCUACGGGAGGCAGCAGUGGGGAAUAUUGCACAAUGGGCGAAAGCCUGAUGCAGCAACGCCGCGUGAGCGAUGAAGGCCUUCGGGUCGUAAAGCUCUGUCCUCAAGGAAGAUAAUGACGGUACUUGAGGAGGAAGCCCCGGCUAACUACGUGCCAGCAGCCGCGGUAAUACGUAGGGGGCUAGCGUUAUCCGGAAUUACUGGGCGUAAAGGGUGCGCAGGUGGUUUCUUAAGUCAGAGGUGAAAGGCUACGGCUCAACCGUAGUAAGCCUUUGAAACUGAGAAACUUGAGUGCAGGAGAGGAGAGUG
Molecule: ribosomal RNA, 631 nt
Filed under: uncultured organism
Description: bacterial SSU rRNA
Rfam family: Bacterial small subunit ribosomal RNA
Source: RNAcentral